CCAAUGUAGUGGGUCCAACCAGCAUUAAAAAAGAAAGAAAGAAAGAAAGAAAGAAAGAAUAGAAAAUAUCAGAGUACAUAACAAGUAGUAAAGGAAGUCACCAUCUUCGGUGGGGACCUUUCUCAGACAAUCUAUUCUUCCACAAUUCUCCUUGAGCAACCAAGAUAUUAACGGGGAAGACUUGAAGUUUCUAUGCUGCUUGAUCCAGAAUUUUCUCACCAUGGAUGUGGGGUUCUCACCUUUGAAGGAAAUGGAAACGGUACAAACCAGCAUUUGAGUGAAUGAACACUGAAAAUGCAUGCUGCAACCAACCACUGGAUCAGGGUACAAGACAAAUAAUGGUUCUAGUGGAACUUGGGGGAAAAGCACUUUUACAUGGAAUUUAAUAUAUUGUUCCCUGACUUAUCUUUGUUUAUGAUUCUAUAGUUGGAUAAUUGUUUUCCUCAAUCCUAUGACAAAAAGAGUUGGAGGCGUCAGGAAGAGCAAGAACAAUUUGGCUCUCAGUGAAUUUUUAAUAAACAAUGUGUUGCAUCAAGAACAAUUAAAUGCUUUUAAAUGUAAGAUAAUUUUACUUAGACAAAUGGUUUUUGAGAAGUACUUUCAAGACAGA
RNAcentral lists this long non-coding RNA (610 nucleotides) under Homo sapiens (human). RNAcentral describes it as "HSALNT0328795". Lineage: Eukaryota; Metazoa; Chordata; Mammalia; Primates; Hominidae. The record is from RNAcentral.